GACGAACGCUGGCGGCGUGCUUGACACAUGCAAGUCGAACGGAAAGGCCCUGCUUUUGUGGGGUGCUCGAGUGGCGAACGGGUGAGUAACACGUGAGUAACCUGCCCUUGACUUUGGGAUAACUUCAGGAAACUGGGGCUAAUACCGGAUAGGAGCUCCUGCUGCAUGGUGGGGGUUGGAAAGUUUCGGCGGUUGGGGAUGGACUCGCGGCUUAUCAGCUUGUUGGUGGGGUAGUGGCUUACCAAGGCUUUGACGGGUAGCCGGCCUGAGAGGGUGACCGGCCACAUUGGGACUGAGAUACGGCCCAGACUCCUACGGGAGGCAGCAGUGGGGAAUAUUGCACAAUGGGCGGAAGCCUGAUGCAGCAACGCCGCGUGCGGGACGACGGCCUUCGGGUUGUAAACCGCUUUCGCCUGUGACGAAGCGUGAGUGACGGUAAUGGGUAAAGAAGCACCGGCUAACUACGUG
Molecule: ribosomal RNA, 468 nt
Filed under: uncultured bacterium
Lineage: Bacteria
Description: partial 16S ribosomal RNA
Rfam family: Bacterial small subunit ribosomal RNA
Source: RNAcentral